AGGGUUUUUWUUUUAUACUUUAAACCYYGAAKUUAUUUUUUAAAUGUUUAUAUUAUUUGAAUAAAACAUUCAAAUAAUAUAAAAAAUAAUAUAUAUAUUGACAUGGAUUAAACAAAGAUAUAUAUUAUUUUAUGUUGUWUAAACAAAUUGGCAAAAUAGAGAUGGAAGAUAAAAAUAUGGUCAAAGUAAUAAGAGUCUAUGGUGGAUGCCUAGGAGCUUUAAGGSGAAGAAGGUSGUGGUAAGSUGMGAAAAGCKUGGGGGG
This 262-nucleotide unclassified non-coding RNA is filed under the name uncultured Borrelia sp. RNAcentral's name for it is "partial contains 5S-23S ribosomal RNA intergenic spacer and 23S ribosomal RNA". Lineage: Bacteria; Pseudomonadati; Spirochaetota; Spirochaetia; Spirochaetales; Borreliaceae. The record is from RNAcentral.